Molecule: ribosomal RNA, 776 nt
Filed under: uncultured Neocallimastigales
Lineage: Eukaryota; Fungi; Neocallimastigomycota; Neocallimastigomycetes; Neocallimastigales
Description: partial large subunit ribosomal RNA
Rfam family: Eukaryotic large subunit ribosomal RNA
Source: RNAcentral
UAUGUGAUCGUCUCUCGCAUAUCAAUAAGCGGAGGAAAAGAAACUAACAAGGAUUCCCCUAGUAACGGCGAGUGAAGCGGGAAGAGCUCAAAUUUGGAAAUCUUAAAGGGUUUCCCUUUACGAAUUGUAGUUUAAAGAAGUGUUUUCUGUUGAGGUUUUGGUAAAAGUUCUUUGGAAUAGGACAUCAUAGAGGGUGAGAAUCCCGUAUUUGACCUUUACUUUCAACUUUGUGAUACACUUUCAAAGAGUCAGGAUUGUUUGGGAAUGCAGUCCAAAAUGGGUGGUAAAUUUCAUCUAAAGCUAAAUAUUGGCGAGAGACCGAUAGCGAACAAGUACCGUGAGGGAAAGAUGAAAAGAACUUUGAAAAGAGAGUUAAACAGUACGUGAAAUUGUCAAAAGGGAAGCGUUUGACACCAGUGUUGUUUUUCUGAAAAUCAAUUAAAGAACUGUUUAUGCUAAGUUGUUUAGACUUUAUCAGCUAUCUGUUUAGUUUUGAGCUUUUCUUUAAUGCACUUUUCAGUUAACAAGUCAACAUCAAUUUCUUUUGCUGUAAAAAAGCUUGAGGAAGGUGGCUUGAGAUUCGUCUUAAGUGUUUAUAGCCUCUUGCCUAUGCAGUCGGAGAGAUUGAGGUCUGCAGCGUAGAUCCUUCGGGGCUAAAUGCAUUUGUGCUAAGUUAUAGCAUUUUAUAGACAACUUGUUGACUAUGAUUUGUCUUGUAGCUUACUCGCUUAUGUUAUUUUACCUACGCUUAGGAUGUUGAGCGCAUGUCUCUCUCU